Molecule: ribosomal RNA, 272 nt
Filed under: uncultured bacterium
Lineage: Bacteria
Description: partial 16S ribosomal RNA
Rfam family: Bacterial small subunit ribosomal RNA
Source: RNAcentral
GACGAACGCUGGCGGCGUGCUUAACACAUGCAAGUCACGGGGGGUAGCAAUACCAACCGGCGAACGGGUGCGUAACACGUGAGCAACCUACCGAUUUGUGGGGGAUAGCCGUCCUAACGGGCGGGUAAUACCGCAUACGCUUUCCGGGAGACAUCUCCUGGUAAGGAAACCUCCGGGGCAAAUCGAGGGGCUCGCGGCCUAUCAGCUAGUUGGUGCGGUCACGGCGCACCAAGGCGACGACGGGUAGCUGGCUGAGAGGAUGGCCAGCCACA